This 28-nucleotide non-coding RNA is filed under the name Cricetulus griseus (Chinese hamster). The record is from RNAcentral. Lineage: Eukaryota; Metazoa; Chordata; Mammalia; Rodentia; Cricetidae.
UAGGAAGUCUCCUCUCGAUACUGCUGCA